This 429-nucleotide ribosomal RNA is filed under the name Gemmatimonadota bacterium. RNAcentral's name for it is "Gemmatimonadetes bacterium partial 16S ribosomal RNA". It matches the Rfam family "Bacterial small subunit ribosomal RNA", at positions 355 to 776 of the family's 1533-position model. The record is from RNAcentral. Lineage: Bacteria; Pseudomonadati; Gemmatimonadota.
UAGGGAAUCUUCGGCAAUGGACGAAAGUCUGACCGAGCAACGCCGCGUGAGUGAAGAAGGCUUUCGGAUCGUAAAACUCUGUUGUUAGAGAAGAACAAGGACGUUAGUAACUGAACGUCCCCUGACGGUAUCUAACCAGAAAGCCACGGCUAACUACGUGCCAGCAGCCGCGGUAAUACGUAGGUGGCAAGCGUUGUCCGGAUUUAUUGGGCGUAAAGCGAGCGCAGGCGGUUUCUUAAGUCUGAUGUGAAAGCCCCCGGCUCAACAGGGGAGGGGCAUUGGAAACUGGAAGACUUGAGUGCAGAAGAGGAGAGUGGAAUUCAGUGUGUAGCGGUGAAAUGCGUAGAUAUAUGGAGGAACACCAGUGGCGAAGGCGGCUCUCUGGUCUGUAACUGACGCUGAGGCGCGAAAGCGUGGGGAGCAAACAGG